CCCCUAGAUGUUCUGGGCCGCACGCGCGCUACACUGAACAGUUCAACAAGUCUUAACCUUGGCCGAUAGGUCUGGGUAAUCUUUGAACGCUGUUCGUGAUUGGGAUAGACCUUUGCAAUUAUGGGUCUUCAACGAGGAAUUCCUAGUAAACGCAAGUCGUCAGCUUGCAUUGAUUACGUCCCUGCCCUUUGUACACACCGCCCGUCGCACCUACCGAUUGAAUGGUCCGGUGAAAUCUCGGGACGGCGGCUUGGUCGCUUGCGUCCGACUGCUGAAACUUGAUUAAACCAUAUCAUUUAGAGGAAGGUGAAGUCGUANCA
Molecule: ribosomal RNA, 320 nt
Filed under: uncultured eukaryote
Lineage: Eukaryota
Description: partial 18S ribosomal RNA
Rfam family: Eukaryotic small subunit ribosomal RNA
Source: RNAcentral